GAUGAACGCUGGCGGCGUGCCUAAUACAUGCAAGUCGAGCGAACAGACGAGGAGCUUGCUCCUCUGACGUUAGCGGCGGACGGGUGAGUAACACGUGGAUAACCUACCUAUAAGACUGGGAUAACUUCGGGAAACCGGAGCUAAUACCGGAUAAUAUAUUGAACCGCAUGGUUCAAUAGUGAAAGACGGUUUUGCUGUCACUUAUAGAUGGAUCCGCGCCGCAUUAGCUAGUUGGUAAGGUAACGGCUUACCAAGGCAACGAUGCGUAGCCGACCUGAGAGGGUGAGCGGCCACACUGGAACUGAGACACGGUCCAGACUCCUACGGGAGGCAGCAGUAGGGAAUCUUACGCAAUGGGCGAAAGCUUGACGGAGCAACGCCGCGUGAGUGAUGAAGGUCUUCGGAUCGUAAAACUCUGUUAUUAGGGAAGAACAAAUGUGUAAGUAACUAUGCACGUCUUGACGGUACCUAAUCAGAAAGCCACGGCUAACUACGUG
This 497-nucleotide ribosomal RNA is filed under the name uncultured bacterium. RNAcentral describes it as "partial 16S ribosomal RNA". It matches the Rfam family "Bacterial small subunit ribosomal RNA", at positions 28 to 507 of the family's 1533-position model. The record is from RNAcentral.